UGGGGAAUCUUGCACAAUGGGGGCAACCCUGAUGCAGCGACGCCGCGUGAGCGAUGAAGCCCUUCGGGGUGUAAAGCUCUUUCGGCAGGGAAGAUAAUGACGGUACCUGCAGAAUCAGCUGCGGCUAACUACGUGCCAGCAGCCGCGGUAAUACGUAGGCAGCGAGCGUUGUUCGGAGUUACUGGGCGUAAAGGGUGUGUAGGCGGUGCUCUAAGUGUGGUGUGAAAUCUCCCGGCUCAACUGGGAGGGUGCGCUACGAACUGGAGUGCUCGAGUGCGGGAUGGGAGAGUGGAAUUCCUGGUGUAGCGGUGAAAUGCGUAGAUAUCAGGAGGAACACCGGUGGUGUAGACGGCUCUCUGGGCCGCAACUGACGCUGAGACACGAAAGCGUGGGUAGCAAACAGGAUUAGAUACCCCCGUAGUCCCUGAGCGGGCUGGCAAGGCGCAU
This 447-nucleotide ribosomal RNA is filed under the name uncultured bacterium. RNAcentral's name for it is "bacterial SSU rRNA". It matches the Rfam family "Bacterial small subunit ribosomal RNA", at positions 355 to 825 of the family's 1533-position model. The record is from RNAcentral.